Molecule: ribosomal RNA, 245 nt
Filed under: uncultured Lachnospiraceae bacterium
Lineage: Bacteria; Bacillati; Bacillota; Clostridia; Lachnospirales; Lachnospiraceae
Description: partial 16S ribosomal RNA
Rfam family: Bacterial small subunit ribosomal RNA
Source: RNAcentral
UACGUAUGGUGCAAGCGUUAUCCGGAUUUACUGGGUGUAAAGGGAGCGCAGACGGCGCGGCAAGCCAGAUGUGAAAGGCCGGGGCUCAACCCCGGGACUGCAUUUGGAACUGUCGUGCUUGAGUGUCGGAGAGGUAAGCGGAAUUCCUAGUGUAGCGGUGAAAUGCGUAGAUAUUAGGAGGAACACCGGUGGCGAAGGCGGCUUACUGGACGACAACUGACGUUGAGGCUCGAAAGCGUGGGGAG